RNAcentral lists this ribosomal RNA (495 nucleotides) under uncultured bacterium. RNAcentral describes it as "partial 16S ribosomal RNA". It matches the Rfam family "Bacterial small subunit ribosomal RNA", at positions 28 to 507 of the family's 1533-position model. The record is from RNAcentral.
GACGAACGCUGGCGGCGUGCCUAAUACAUGCAAGUAGAACGCUGAAGGAGGAGCUUGCUUCUCUGGAUGAGUUGCGAACGGGUGAGUAACGCGUAGGUAACCUGCCUGGUAGCGGGGGAUAACUAUUGGAAACGAUAGCUAAUACCGCAUAAUGGUAGAUGUUGCAUGACAUUUGCCUAAAAGGUGCAAUUGCAUCACUACCAGAUGGACCUGCGUUGUAUUAGCUAGUUGGUGGGGUAACGGCUCACCAAGGCGACGAUACAUAGCCGACCUGAGAGGGUGAUCGGCCACACUGGGACUGAGACACGGCCCAGACUCCUACGGGAGGCAGCAGUAGGGAAUCUUCGGCAAAGGACGGAAGUCUGACCGAGCAACGCCGCGUGGGUGAAGAAGGUUUUCGGAUCGUAAAGCUCUGUUGUAAGAGAAGAACGAGUGUGAGAGUGGAAAGUUCACACUGUGACGGUAUCUUAUCAGAAAGGGACGGCUAACUACGUG